RNAcentral lists this ribosomal RNA (439 nucleotides) under uncultured bacterium. Its description in RNAcentral is "partial 16S ribosomal RNA". It matches the Rfam family "Bacterial small subunit ribosomal RNA", at positions 339 to 795 of the family's 1533-position model. The record is from RNAcentral.
CUACGGGAGGCUGCAGUGAGGAAUAUUGCACAAUGGGGGGAACCCUGAUGCAGCAACGCCGCGUGGAGGAUGACGCAUUUCGGUGUGUAAACUCCUUUUAUAUGUCAAGAAAAUGACGGUAGCAUAUGAAUAAGCACCGGCUAACUCCGUGCCAGCAGCCGCGGUAAUACGGAGGGUGCAAGCGUUACUCGGAAUCACUGGGCGUAAAGGACGCGUAGGCGGGUUGGAAAGUCAGGUGUGAAAUCCUACAGCUUAACUGUAGAACUGCACUUGAAACUUCUAAUCUAGAGUAUGGGAGGGGGGGAUGGAAUUAGUGGUGUAGGGGUAAAAUCCGUAGAUAUCACUAGGAAUACCUAAAGCGAAGGCGAUCUCCUGGAACAUUACUGACGCUAAGGCGUGAAAGCGUGGGGAGCAAACAGGAUUAGAUACCCCCGUAGUU